UUUUGCUCGGCGGCGCGGCAGACAGACGUGUACACGUGUGCCUGGCCGUUUUUCGAUCUGCGAAAUGCGCCAGCAGCUACAGUCCGUGUACAGCCCUGCAGCCUUGUACCACUGCAGGUAGUAAAGCUGGAGAGCCACUGUUUGGCAACCAGGUCCAGGCAGGCUUGGAGCUGACAGCAUCUCAUUCUGUGGCUUCCUGCCCAGGGGCUCCUCGGAUGCCGGAGUGCCCAGACUCUGCUUUCAGAGGGGCCCAGCCUAAAACAACCCGUUAUAAGAUGAUCUUACUUUCUUGGAAAUGCUGCAUUACAAAAAAAUGGGAAGAAGAAUCAAAAGGAGCGAGAAACAUGAUCGUCUAUGGAGAACCUUCCUUGGAGAAGGGUAGACUCUUGCCUGUUACGCAUUCGUCUGUGUGAGGGGAACGGAGUGAGGGUAGAGGAAGCAGGAUGCUGAGGGAGCUGGAGCAGCUUUGUUGUCUAGGAUGACCCCGUUGCACACCUGAGUUGGCUGCUUACUACUGACUCUCUGAUCCUGGCAGAUGUCCGCCUCUGAACCUGUUUCCUCACCUGUAACACAGAGGCAGUAAAUGCCAACUCAUACGGUGAGACACAGAGACCAUGUCAGCUGAGUGCCGAGCCCGGUGCCCAGGCCCUGGUGUGCGUCAGUAAAUGCUGUCUUGGUGGAACAGCCCUGUGUAAUCAGCUUGGGACUGUCCGGGACCAAGUUUCUCCUGCUGCUUCCUGUGUGCUUACUUCCCUUCCACAGUAAAAUGGUGAGCCUCUCAAAGGCAGUGAUAGAAGUCUGUGAUCAAUAGACACAUUAUCCCUUUCAAAUAAACGACUCCAGCGUUACUGCCCAGACCAGCAGAGGCCUCAGCCCCUAGGGAUUGCUUGCUUCCCAUAGCAGGUCGGUGCCCAGGAAGCCACUCUGAGACAGUUAUGUAUGCAGGAAGUUUAUUGGGGUGGGUUCUUGGGGUCAACACUGUGAUGGAAGGGAAGGAAGCAGGAUGAGGCAGAUGUGGGCUGCGAUGCAGUCACAAGGCCUCAACUGACCCUGUGGGGAGCACUGGAGCUAGAGUGGCCCUUCAGGGUUGUCCUCAGGCUUUAAAUCCCUGCCCUGUCCAGUCAUUGGAUGUGGCUGCCCUGAGAAGGAGGCACUGCCAGCCCGCACAUUCCCGGCCACGGGGAAAGAAGUGAAGUGGGGGCUCUGAGUGGAGCAGCGCCCACCACACCUUCAGUUCUAAUGGGUGGCUCUGGAGGAUGUGGCAGUUACUGCUAGCUCUCCACCCAGUGUCCACUCACCCCUUCUUCCUUAUUAAGAGGUGCCUGAUUGUUUGAGACAGCAGUGUGCCCAAUAAAAAUACUCACUUUCCUAGACUCCUUUGCAGUGGAGGUGGGCCAGCGACCGCACUGUGGCUAGUAAGAUGUAAAUAGCAGUCUGGGCUCCUGAUGACGUGGUGGAGCCGUUAGAGAAAAUGAAAGGCUGUAUCUGCUUAACCUCUGUGAUCAGGUUUCUGUUGUAUGUAACCAAACAGUUCUAAAUGGUUCACAGAGGCAUUAUCAUAUCCUGUCUUAAGAACAGGGUCCUUCAAGUUAAAUGAACGACACCUCUGGGUCCCAGCUCUGUGCAUACCAGCUAGCUCUGUGGAACCUCGGAGGAGUCACUCCACCCGGCUUCCUGUUUCUGUAAAAUGGGAACGACAGGACUACCUGGCACAUGUCUCAUGUAACACUAGGGUAGCCAACUUGUCCCAGUUUGCCUGGACUUGCUCAGUUUUAGCACUGAAACCCCAGACAAACAGGGACAGCUGGUCACCCCAUUAAAACACAUCCCCAAACACCCUACCUCCUUUACGGAUGGAAGACGGCCCUGAAGGCUAAAAAUUCUAUUUGAUGCUGCCCC
Equus asinus (donkey) is the source of this 1899-nucleotide long non-coding RNA. NCBI's taxonomy places the organism in Eukaryota, Metazoa, Chordata, Mammalia, Perissodactyla, Equidae. The record is from Ensembl.